Molecule: transfer RNA, 72 nt
Filed under: Diplodia seriata
Lineage: Eukaryota; Fungi; Ascomycota; Dothideomycetes; Botryosphaeriales; Botryosphaeriaceae
Rfam family: tRNA
About the family: Transfer RNA (tRNA) molecules are approximately 80 nucleotides in length. Their secondary structure includes four short double-helical elements and three loops (D, anti-codon, and T loops).
Source: Rfam by way of RNAcentral
GGCCGGUUGGCUCAAUGGUAGAGUGUCCGCCUCCUAAGCGGAAGGUUGCGGGUUCGAGUCCCGUGCUGGUCG